RNAcentral lists this ribosomal RNA (511 nucleotides) under uncultured bacterium. Its description in RNAcentral is "bacterial SSU rRNA". It matches the Rfam family "Bacterial small subunit ribosomal RNA", at positions 28 to 512 of the family's 1533-position model. The record is from RNAcentral.
GACGAACGCUGGCGGCGUGGAUUAGGCAUGCAAGUCGGACGGUAGGGGCUUUAUCGUAAGAUAGAGUUUGAGAGUGGCGAACGGGUGAGUAACACGUAGGAAUCUACCCUUAAGACGGGGACAACCCAGGGAAACUUGGGCUAAUACCGGAUGAGAGUGCGAGAGAUUGCAUUUAAAAGGAUGGCGAAAGUUGUCGCUUAGGGAUGAGCCUGCGGUCUAUUAGUUAGUUGGUGAGGUAAGAGCUCACCAAGGCGAUGAUAGAUAGGCGGCCUUAACGGGUGGUCGCCCCACACUGGGAUUGAGAUACGGCCCAGACUCCUACGGGAGGGCAGCAGUCGAGAAUAGUCUUACAAUGGCCGGAAGGCUGAUAGUGCGACGCCGCGUGAACGAGGGAGCCCUUUCGGGGUGUAAAGUUCGUUUUCUAUACGAGCAGUGCUAUAUAUAUGGUAUAGUAUAUUAUAGAGGGAUAGGUAGUAUAGGAAUUAAGACAACGGCUAACGUCCGUGCCAGC